This 449-nucleotide ribosomal RNA is filed under the name uncultured Pseudorhodobacter sp. RNAcentral describes it as "bacterial SSU rRNA". It matches the Rfam family "Bacterial small subunit ribosomal RNA", at positions 8 to 488 of the family's 1533-position model. The record is from RNAcentral. Lineage: Bacteria; Pseudomonadati; Pseudomonadota; Alphaproteobacteria; Rhodobacterales; Paracoccaceae.
AGAGUUUGAUCCUGGCUCAGAAUGAACGCUGGCGGCAGGCCUAACACAUGCAAGUCGAACGAAGCCUUCGGGCUUAGUGGCGGACGGGUGAGUAACGCGUGGGAACGUGCCCUUUGGUACGGAAUAGCCCCGGGAAACUGGGAGUAAUACCGUAUGUGCCCUUUUGUUGUAGUGACGGGAGGGGAAAGAUUUAUCGCCAAAGGAUCGGCCCGCGUUGGAUUAGGUAGUUGGUGGGGUAAUGGCCUACCAAGCCGACGAUCCAUAGCUGGUUUGAGAGGAUGAUCAGCCACACUGGAACUGAGACACGGCCCAGACUCCUACGGGAGGCAGCAGUGGGGAAUCUUAGACAAUGGGGGCAACCCUGAUCUAGCCAUGCCGCGUGAUCGAUGAAGGCCUUAGGGUUGUAAAGAUCUUUCAGAUGGGAAGAUAAUGACGGUACCAUCAGAAGA